Molecule: long non-coding RNA, 1104 nt
Organism: Herpailurus yagouaroundi (jaguarundi)
Lineage: Eukaryota; Metazoa; Chordata; Mammalia; Carnivora; Felidae
Exons: 5
Source: RefSeq, a predicted model, not a curated record
UGAAUGAAAAUAAUGAGAAAAUAAUUUACAAUACCGUACUGUAUUUAUCUAAAAAAAUCUAUGUUGUUCAAGGGUCAACUGUGCUGAUAGGUAUGACCGUUAUGUAGUAAAUCCAUCACUUUUCCUUUAUGGCUUUGGUAUUAUAUGUUGUACUUAGAAAUACUUCUUACGCUCAAUAUUAUAAAGUCAUUCACUCUUUCUUCUGGAACAUUUCAAUGUUUAUUUUAUUUUUACAGAUAAUUCAUCCAUCUGGAAUUGACUUUAGUGUGAGAAUAUAUGCUAGGUACAGUCUCUUAGCACUUGACAUUAUGUCCCAUGCCUCCCCAUCUCAUACCAAAGGGGAUGAAAGGCCAAAAAUGAAGUUUUGUAGACUCCAAGGUUCUUCCAGAAUUAUGACUCUUAGUGCCGCAGUUCUGACAUUUAUCACUCAGUAGUCCGGUCCCAGGAGCAGAAUAGCAGCUGUGGCCUGUAUCAGAACCUGAAAAAUCCCAAGUUACACAAAGGACAGAACCCUUUUACAUUCUUAAAAUUGAGGACCUUAAAGAGCUUCUGCUUAUUACAGUUUUUAUCUAUCAUAUAUCAUAAUAUGCACCCUGUUUUAUACCUGUGGUGAAAAAUCUCCCCCUGUAUUGGAGAAGAGCUAUUAUACAACAGUCAGUUGAUGAUGGACUGGUAUAGAGGUCCCCUCCCAGAUCUCGUUUUCUUUGCUUCUGAGAAAUGUUAUGGACAAGUCGGCAGCAACUCUCCCACGUCCUGUGAGCUCACCAGGUGCAGAUUAUGGAUCGUGCUGCAAGGAUGACACAUAGAACUGAGGCCACUGCACGACUGAGUGCAUGGAGUCCUGUGGCUCCCGCACAAACAGAGAGACUGGGAUGAUACGGGCGUGGCAUGUUGUCCUCCACACAGAGAUCCCUUCUGCCUGCCUUUCUGAGAGCUUCCCUAUAAGAAACUGCACCCAGCGACAACUUGGCCUGGUAAGAACAGGUCUACCAGAUGUUGAAAGUAAAUCUGGUUUGUUCCCCAGAGGAUAAUAUCUAAUUAUCAUGCACACAUAUGCAAUAUAGAAAUUUGAAGUAUGGAAUUAUAUUUGGAGUUUUCUUCAUA